AGCUCCAAUAGCGUAUAUUAAAGUUGUUGCAGUUAAAAAGCUCGUAGUUGAAUUUGUGGUGUACGGGGGGCACCCAUCACUUAUGGGUGUUGGUGUUGCCUGUCGUUGCCAUCUUUGGGUGGAAACUGUGUGGCAUUAGGUUGUCGUGCAGGGGAUGCCCAUCGUUUACUGUGAAAAAAUUAGAGUGUUCAAAGCAGGCUUAUGCCGAUGAAUAUAUUAGCAUGGAAUAAUAAAAUAGGACCUUGGUGCUAUUUUGUUGGUUUGCGCGUCAAGGUAAUGAUUGAGAGGAACUGUUGUGGGUAUUCGAAUUUCAUUGUCAGAGGUGAAAUUCUUGGAUUUUUGAAAGACGAACUAAUGCGAAAGCAUUUACCAAGGAUGUUUUCAUUAAUCAAGAACGAAA
Molecule: ribosomal RNA, 400 nt
Filed under: phytoplankton environmental sample
Lineage: Eukaryota
Description: partial small subunit ribosomal RNA
Rfam family: Eukaryotic small subunit ribosomal RNA
Source: RNAcentral